This 777-nucleotide ribosomal RNA is filed under the name Triticum aestivum (bread wheat). RNAcentral describes it as "partial small subunit ribosomal RNA". The record is from RNAcentral. Lineage: Eukaryota; Viridiplantae; Streptophyta; Magnoliopsida; Poales; Poaceae.
AUGAAGGCAACCGUCGAGUCUCACGCCCACGUCCUCAUCUUCUUCUCCACACCUAUGCGAGCGCCGGUGGUGGCUCAGAGCCGAUGGAGGAGCAGCGCUAGCAGUGGUACAGAGCCGACAGAGGAGAAGGUGUUGGUGGUGGUUUCGAUCCAUGAUCUGUCGUGUGCAGCGCCGCCUUCCAGGCCGGCUCCUGCCGCCGGGCCGUCCGCAUCGUCAUCUGUUCAACCGCCCCCAGGCUGGCGUCCUAGUCCGAACUACCGCGGAAAAAACCCUAUCUACAGGCCGCCGUCGACUCGUUCGGUUCCGCCUACGACAUCACCAGCACUGAGUCCUGCACCACCCAUCAGUGCUCCAUCUGCGGUUGCAUGGCGGCCUCCUCAUGAUCCUUGGACGGGGCUUGUUCAAGCAUGGCCCAUGCCCUGGUCCGCUCCGUCCACCCUCGGUGCUCCGCCGGCAUACUCAGGUGCCUGGCAACCCGGCCUUCGGCCGCCUACUGGUGCUCCCGGGGGGCGAGGAGAAGGUCCGCGAAGCGCACAUGACCUCGAGCCAGUCGCCGCCGCCACCUCUCCUCUACCUCUCUCCUCUCCUGAGCCCUUGAUGACCUCAAGCCAGUUGCCAGCCAUCUCCAUGGUCCUCAUGUCUGUUUUCUCCAGCGCGCCCUCAAGGCCGGAUGAUGCAGAGAUGUGCGAAGGAUCCAGAUGGUUGUCGUCGUCUUCUGUGUAUGAUGGACCCUCGGCGGCGCGAUGCCUGUCCGGCGUCACCAAUCAGAGAAGCUAG